This is a long non-coding RNA of Eriocheir sinensis (Chinese mitten crab), 1408 nucleotides long. RefSeq lists it as uncharacterized. NCBI's taxonomy places the organism in Eukaryota, Metazoa, Arthropoda, Malacostraca, Decapoda, Varunidae. The record is from RefSeq and is a predicted model, not a curated record. The transcript has 5 exons.
AGAUUUUGGUUGAUCGCGGGUGACUGGUAGGUGGUAGAGGGGUGGUUCUAGCGUGGUUAGGUAGGGGAAUGGUUGUAGUUUGUGUGGUAGGAAUAGUAGUUGUGGUGGUGGAGCAGAAAGUAGAAAAAAAAGCAAAAAUGUGAGAGAAUUGGAUGGAGGAGUUGAAAAAAUUUAGGGUGGUUUGGGAAAAAUGUUGGUACCUUUUGGUUGAUUGUGGGUGACUGGUAGGUGGUAGAGGGAUGGUUCUAGCGUGGUUAGGUAGGGGAAUGGUUGUAGUUUGUGUGGUAGGAAUGGUGGUUGUGGUGGUGGAGCAGAAAGUAGAAAAAAAAGCAAAAAGGUGAGAGGUAUUGGAUGGUGACGUUGAAAAAAUUUAGGGAGGUUCGGGUAAAAAUGUUGGUAGAUUUUGGUUGAUUGCGGGUGACUGGUAGGUGGUAGAGGGGUGCGAAUAGUGUGGUUAGGUAGGGGAAUGGUUGUAGUUUGUGUGGUAGGAAGGGUGAUUGUGGUGGUGGAGCAGAAAGUAGAAAAAAAAGCAAAAAUGUGAGAGGUAUUGGAUGGUGACGUUGAAAAAAUUUAGGGAGGUUCGGGUAAAAAUGUUGGUAGAUUUUGGUUGAUUGCGGGUGACUGGUAGGUGGUAGAGGGGUGGGGAUAGCGUGGUUAGGUAGGGGAAUGGUUGUAGUUUGUGUGGUAGGAAUGGUGGUUGUGGUGGUGCAGCAGAAAGUAGAAAAAAAAGCAAAAAUAUGAAGUAUUUGAUGAAGUUGAAAAAAUAUUGGAGGUUCAGGUAAAAAUGUUGGUAGAUUUUGGUUGAUUCCGGGUGACUGGUAGGUGGUAGAGGGGUGGGGUUAGCGUGGUUAGGUAGGGGAAUGGUUGUAGUUUGUGUGGUAGGAAAGGUGGUUAUGGUGGUGGAGCAGAAAGUAGAAAAAAAAGCAAAAAUGUGAGAGGUAUUGGAUGGUGACGUUGAAAAAAUUUAGGGAGGUUCGGGUAAAAAUGUUGGUAGAUUUUGGUUGAUUGCAGGGAACUGGUUGGUGGUAGAGGGAUGGUUCUAGCGUGGUUAGGUAGGGGAAUGGUUGUAGUUUGUGUGGUAGGAAUAGUAGUUGUGGUGGUGGAGCAGAAAGUAGAAAAAAAAGCAAAAAGGUGAGAGGUAUUGGAUGGAGAAGUUGAAAAAAUUUAGGGAGGUUCGGGUAAAAAUGUUGGUAGAUUUUGGUUGAUUGCGGGUGACUGGUAGGUGGUAGAGGGGUGGGGUUAGCGUGGUUAGGUAGGGGAAUGGUUGUAGUUUGUGUGGUAGGAAAGGUGGUGGUGGUGGUGGAGGGGAACACAGAAAAAAAAGCAAAAUUGUGAGAGGCAUCUGGUGAAAAAAAGUUGAAAGAUGCAAUAUUUACCAUCAAUUAAGGAUACAAUGAUCUCCUUGCUC